RNAcentral lists this ribosomal RNA (753 nucleotides) under uncultured bacterium. RNAcentral describes it as "bacterial SSU rRNA". It matches the Rfam family "Bacterial small subunit ribosomal RNA", at positions 690 to 1446 of the family's 1533-position model. The record is from RNAcentral.
GUAGAGAUGUGGAGGAACACCGAUGGCGAAGGCAGCCCCCUGGGAUGACACUGACGCUCAUGUACGAAAGCGUGGGUAGCAAACAGGAUUAGAUACCCUGGUAGUCCACGCCCUAAACGAUGUCAACUGGUUGUUGGGGGAGUGAAAUCCCUUAGUAACGAAGCUAACGCGUGAAGUUGACCGCCUGGGGAGUACGGUCGCAAGAUUAAAACUCAAAGGAAUUGACGGGGACCCGCACAAGCGGUGGAUGAUGUGGAUUAAUUCGAUGCAACGCGAGAAACCUUACCUACCCUUGACAUGUCCGGAAUCCUGCUGAGAGGUGGGAGUGCCCGAAAGGGAAUCGGAACACAGGUGCUGCAUGGCUGUCGUCAGCUCGUGUCGUGAGAUGUUGGGUUAAGUCCCGCAACGAGCGCAACCCUUAUCAUUAGUUGCUACGCAAGGGCACUCUAAUGAGACUGCCGGUGACAAACCGGAGGAAGGUGGGGAUGACGUCAAGUCCUCAUGGCCCUUAUGGGUAGGGCUUCACACGUCAUACAAUGGUCGGUACAGAGGGUUGCCAAGCCGCGAGGCGGAGCCAAUCCCAGAAAGCCGAUCGUAGUCCAGAUUGUUCUCUGCAACUCGAGAGCAUGAAGUCGGAAUCGCUAGUAAUCGCGGAUCAGCAUGUCGCGGUGAAUACGUUCCCGGGUCUUGUACACACCGCCCGUCACACCAUGGGAGUGGAAUCUGGCAGAAGUAGGUAGCCUAACCGCAAGG